Molecule: ribosomal RNA, 422 nt
Filed under: uncultured prokaryote
Description: bacterial SSU rRNA
Rfam family: Bacterial small subunit ribosomal RNA
Source: RNAcentral
UAAGGAAUAUUGGUCAAUGGACGCAAGUCUGAACCAGCCAUGCCGCGUGCAGGAAGACGGCCUUAUGGGUUGUAAACUGCUUUUGUCAGGGAAUAAACCCUCCUUUGCGAAGGGGGCUGAAGGUACCUGAAGAAUAAGCACCGGCUAACUCCGUGCCAGCAGCCGCGGUACUACGGAGGGUGCAAGCGUUAUCCGGAUUCAUUGGGCUUAAAGGGUGCGCAGGCGGGCUUGUAAGUCAGUGGUGAAAUCCGACUGCUUAACCGUGGAACGGCGUUUGAUACUGCCGGUCUUGAGGAUAGUUGAGGUGGGCGGAAUGUAGCAUGUAGCGGUGAAAUGCAUAGAUAUGCUACAGAACACCAAUUGCGAAGGCAGCUCACUAAGUUAUAACUGACGCUCAUGCACGAAAGCGUGGGGAUCAAACA